Molecule: long non-coding RNA, 1317 nt
Organism: Agrilus planipennis (emerald ash borer)
Lineage: Eukaryota; Metazoa; Arthropoda; Insecta; Coleoptera; Buprestidae
Exons: 2
Source: RefSeq, a predicted model, not a curated record
UGAUUCAUACAUAGAUCGCUCUUCGUUUUCCAGCGAGUCGUCGACCCCUGACCACCUGGCAUCUGGGCGCCACUUUUUCCCCGUCGGACAACCCUUUGGUGGAAACCGCCACCGCACGCAGGUACCGAUGGACCAAAAUAGGCCCCCUGCGUUUUCACCACCCCCGGGGGCUGAGCGCGCCCUCGCGAGGGGGCGAAACGCGAACAGGUGUGACCUCGCUGAUGUGCCCCACUCCGCUCCUACAAGUCGGUCAACGCGCCAUCGAGUCUGAUGAUGUCGAAAAUCCACGAGCGGAAGAUUUAGAAAGAAGGGGUCGUGGGCGGACAUGCGAGGACAGCCACCGUGGACCGUGGAGCAGUGAGCGCGUACCACGCUGACAGAGGCGCCUGCGAUUCCAUUAACCCCAAGGACAUUCGCGGUUAACACUUCCUCAAACAUUACGAUCGACGGCGACUGUAUCUCUUUUCGCUACGUCCAAUGUACAGUUCUUGACAAAAUUAACGAUACGAAAUAGCAAAUUAGUUAAUUUAGAGUUUUGCCAAUUUUUAUUUUUGUUCCUGCCUCUUACAAUUUUUCCAAAUCAUACGAUUUUUUUGUAUAUUUAGAAAAUUCGAUCGUUAAUUGUGUGACAUACCGUACAUAACUUUUUGGAAUCGAAAUCGUUAACAUUUUGUCUAAAUUUAUCAAAAAUAACAACUGUCUCUAUUUACGUAAGAACUUUUAAACUGUGUACAUCUACAUAAGCAUAUUUAACGAUAAGGUCUAUUUUUUAAAUAAAUAUAUGAAAUAAGGUAUAAAAUUUCAGCGGGCCUAUGCCGUACUAUUAUAGAUAAGACACCUAUUGUGUAAAGUAUUUUUUAUAUUUUAUAAAAAUUUUCAAUGAUGUAAUAUUUUAAACGAAAAUGACUGUAGAUUUUUUUUUUAUAAUUUUAACUGAUCUCUAGACUUUAAUCAAAUGGUGACAUUAAUAUUAAGAAGAUUAACGCUCUCUUGUGAAGCAAAUCGGUAGUAUCACUUUUUUUUUUAAUAAGUACAUAAUUAGGGAUAGUGCUUUAUAAACGAAUAAUAUAAUUAUGUAAUAACUCUUCGUCGGUGCCAUCUAGAUUUUUUUUAACGUAGAUUAGCUUUUGCUUUCAUUUUAACGAUAGAGUGGUUUCUAGAUUAACCUAACCUAACCUAUGUUUAAUUUUUUUUCGUAAUUUUAUGUUUUUGUAGGCUGGUUAAGCUUUAAACUAGAUAAGUUUUAGUUUCUAAUUCCUAAAGGUUUAUGUAUUUUUUAAAACCUAGUUACGAAAUAAAUAUUUAAAUUUACCAAAA